Long non-coding RNA from Dalotia coriaria, 819 nucleotides. RefSeq lists it as uncharacterized. The transcript is spliced from 9 exons. The record is from RefSeq and is a predicted model, not a curated record. Lineage: Eukaryota; Metazoa; Arthropoda; Insecta; Coleoptera; Staphylinidae.
UGAUAGGGUCAGGCGUGUUUCUCGCGGGUGUUCAUCAUUUAAUUUUGAGUUUGUAAUUUGGUAAAUCGCGUUUUUUCAAUUGUUCAUCGACUGCAUUUAGCCAUUACUGACGUUAGUAUUUUAUUACAAAGUCGGCAAUUUUCUUUGCAAUCGUCGCAAGAUGACCGCGUUCUAUCAACUUGUUUACACUGCAUGUUUGCAAGAUACAGGUUGCAUGCAACGUCUCACAAUAUUGGUUGUAUUAUUACUUGCACAACGGAUUGGACAAUGGACAUGGACAAUGUUCUGCGGGGAAGCCGAGAAAGUGCUAAGUUUUGGUUGUUUUAGAUAUGAUUUGUAUGAAUAGCUACGGAAAACCAGCAAAAAUGUCAUUUUUGUGCUUUGAUCUGCAAAUUUCUAGUGGUUACAGGUGCCUUGCGAGCAAACGAAAUAUCCUAGGACAGCGAUUCUUUCAUCAGAUUGUGUCUAGCGCGCAAACGAAAUAUCCUAGGGUAGAGAUUCUUUCAUCAGAUUGGGUCUAGCAGGCAAACGAAAUAUCCCAGGAUAGCGAAUCUUUCAUCAGAUUGUGUCUAGAGGGCAAACUUAAUAUCCUAGGAUUGCAAUUCUUUCUGCAGAUUAUGUCUUGAGGGUAAACAAAAUAUUCUAGGACAGCGAUUCUUCCAUCAGAUUGUGUCUAGCGGGCAAACGAAAUAUCCUAGGAUAGCGAAUCUUUCAUCAGAUUGUGUCUAGCGGGCAAAUGAAAUAUCGUAGGAUAGCGGUUCUUUGAUCAGAUUCGGGCAAACGAUAUAUCCUAGGAUAGCGAUUCUUCCAUCAGAUUGU